UUUUUUUUUUUUGCCAAGGAUGACUUUUUCAGAACAAUUUGUUGUAGAAGAUUUGGUUUGUAUUUUAGAUCUUCCAUUGGUCUGUCCUGUAAGAUAAUUCAGUAUAAUUAGUUUAGCUUUGUUAGAUGUUUGUUAUUAUUAGAUUGGGGAAAUUUCAACACUGCUUGCUCGCUAGCCAAGAUUAAUCGAGGAUUUUACAAGCUACUUGGCGUUGGAGAAUGGUUAUUGCUCGUGGGUGAAUGGAAGAUAAAAUCUGGAACAAGUAUCACUCGUCUCUGCCGAGUCUUUUCAUUAAUGGAAGGUCUUGUAUUAUUUCUGUUUUUCAUUCGCUUCUGAAUUCAGCAUUUUUUUCAAUAGUUGCAUUAUGCAGUGCUAAUUCUUUAUAUCUAUUGAGGUCUUUUUUUAGUAUGAUUACGUGAUUGGACAAAGUUUCUAUUUAGGGUUUAGGGUGGAUGGAUGUCUAAUUAAUUAUGUUUUCUCACUGAUUUGUCACCGAAGUUUGGAAUACUAUGUUCUAUUAUUACUCGGAAAAAAAAAAAA
This 540-nucleotide unclassified non-coding RNA is filed under the name Cucumis sativus (cucumber). Its description in RNAcentral is "partial CR20 homologue". The record is from RNAcentral. Lineage: Eukaryota; Viridiplantae; Streptophyta; Magnoliopsida; Cucurbitales; Cucurbitaceae.